Molecule: long non-coding RNA, 551 nt
Filed under: Erythranthe guttata (spotted monkey flower)
Lineage: Eukaryota; Viridiplantae; Streptophyta; Magnoliopsida; Lamiales; Phrymaceae
Description: long non-coding RNA (EGUT_LNC001272)
Source: RNAcentral
AUGAAUGAGAAAUACAUAUCAACUCAAAUCUUAAGUUUGAGUAUUAUUAUCACAUAAACUUUGAGUCUAUCAUAUUCUAUUGAGACUUAUAGUCUCAAAAUGUGAUCUAGGCUUGAGUAUUAUUAUCACAUAAACUUUGAGUCUAUCAUAUUCUAUUGAGACUUAUAGUCUCAAAAUGUGAUCUAGGCUUCAAGCCAUAAAUUGAUUAUGAUCAAUUAUCAAUUUUCUCAUUUCAAUAUUUUGUGGACUUGAAAAAUGUCCACAAAUGACAAAUUUGUCAUGUCUGAGUAAUUUGCUUGUAUCUCUCUCAUUCGAGAUCCAAUUUCAACGCUUCAACAUGCUGUGAACAGCCAACAGAAAGUUCUACAACUUUCGUAUUUUACAUUUUAUCAAAUUCGGUCAAUAUCAGGUCCGAAACGGGACUCAAAGUCUUGAAAAAUGACCACAAAUGACAGAUCUGGCAUGUCUGAGUAUUUUAAGCAUAUCUCUCUUGAUCGAGAUCCGAUUUUGAUGAUUCAAAAUGUUCCGAACAGCCAAUAGAAAAUGCUACA